This 89-nucleotide unclassified non-coding RNA is filed under the name Pseudomonas gessardii. The record is from RNAcentral. Lineage: Bacteria; Pseudomonadati; Pseudomonadota; Gammaproteobacteria; Pseudomonadales; Pseudomonadaceae.
UGUGGGAGCGGGCUUGCUCGCGAUGGCGGUGGGUCAGCCAAUAAAUUUGGUACUGAUACACCGCCAUCGCGAGCAAGCCCGCUCCCACA